This 617-nucleotide ribosomal RNA is filed under the name Xerocomus amazonicus. Its description in RNAcentral is "eukaryotic LSU rRNA". It matches the Rfam family "Eukaryotic large subunit ribosomal RNA", at positions 37 to 647 of the family's 3401-position model. Lineage: Eukaryota; Fungi; Basidiomycota; Agaricomycetes; Boletales; Boletaceae. The record is from RNAcentral.
UGCAUAUCAAUAAGCGGAGGAAAAGAAACUAACAAGGAUUCCCCUAGUAACUGCGAGUGAAGCGGGAAAAGCUCAAAUUUCGAAUCUGAUGGUCUUUGGCCGUCCGAGUUGUAAUCUAGAGAAGCGUUUUCUGUGCUGGACUGUGUAUAAGUCUCCUGGAAGGGAGCGUCAUAGAGGGUGAGAAUCCCGUCUUGGACACAGACUGCCAGUGCUUUGUGAUGCGCUCUCGACGAGUCGAGUUGUUUGGGAAUGCAGCUCAAAAUGGGUGGUAAAUUCCAUCUAAAGCUAAAUACAGGCGAGAGACCGAUAGCGAACAAGUACCGUGAGGGAAAGAUGAAAAGAACUUUGGAAAGAGAGUUAAACAGUACGUGAAAUUGCUGAAAGGGAAACGCUUGAUGUCAGUCGCGUCGGCCAGGGAUCAACCUUGCUUAGUUGCUGGGUGCAUUUCCUGGUAGACGGGUCAGCAUCAGUUUCGGUCGUCGUACAAUGGUAAAGGGAAUGUGGCACCUCUUGGGGUGUGUUAUAGCCUUUUGUCGAAUGCGUCGGUCAGGACUGAGGAACUCGGCACGAUCUAUUUGGAUUUGUGUCUAGGAUGCUGGCAUAAUGGCUUUAAGCGA